Molecule: non-coding RNA, 505 nt
Organism: Cyanistes caeruleus (blue tit)
Lineage: Eukaryota; Metazoa; Chordata; Aves; Passeriformes; Paridae
Source: RefSeq, a predicted model, not a curated record
GAAAGAUGCCACUGAACUAUGUCAACUUUGUAUUUCCAGAAAAUCUGGGGGUUGCCAGAAUUGCUACUACAUUGGUGGGCAUUAAAAGAUCUGGGGUCCCACAGAAAUUGCUCCAGCACAUUCAGCAGCAGCUGAAUAUGUGGCAGCCAGUCUGCAGCAACACAAAGAUAUUACCCUGUUUGGAAGGAAUGGGAGCCCACUAAAUGAAAGGGAGCUCUGCCUGUAUUUGAUUUGGAAAGAGUCAAUCACCUUUGUCUUCAUGGAGUGUUAUUUGAUUAAGAUGAUGCAGAAGUUGUCACAGAUAGUUGUCUGGGUGGGGUUGAAGGGUAAAUGUAUUUGAGGCCUAUGGACAGGCAAUAAAAUGAGCUUUCCCUGCAGAGUCUUUAUGCAGUUGGGGCCCAUUCCUUCUCUACCAGCAAAGAGGUGACAGUGAUUACAUAAGGUCAAGGAAGCUUCGCAGCCAAGGUUUGUGUGUUUUUCCUGGCAAGUGUAAAUGAUCAUGAGA